This 664-nucleotide ribosomal RNA is filed under the name uncultured fungus. RNAcentral describes it as "eukaryotic LSU rRNA". It matches the Rfam family "Eukaryotic large subunit ribosomal RNA", at positions 24 to 664 of the family's 3401-position model. Lineage: Eukaryota; Fungi. The record is from RNAcentral.
CCCGCUGAACUUAAGCAUAUCAAUAAGCGGAGGAAAAGAAACUAACAAGGAUUCCCCUAGUAACUGCGAGUGAAGCGGGAAAAGCUCAAAUUUAAAAUCUGGUGGUCUUUGGCUGCCCGAGUUGUAAUCUGGAGAAGCGUUUAUCCGCGUCGGACCGUGUACAAGUCUUCUGGAAGGGAGCGUCGUAGAGGGUGAGAAUCCCGUCUUUGACACGGACAACCGGUGCUUUUGUGAUGCGCUCUCGAAGAGUCGAGUUGUUUGGGAAUGCAGCUCAAAAUGGGUGGUAAAUUCCAUCUAAAGCUAAAUAUUGGCGAGAGACCGAUAGCGAACAAGUACCGUGAGGGAAAGAUGAAAAGAACUUUGGAAAGAGAGUUAAACAGUACGUGAAAUUGCUGAAAGGGAAACGCUUGAAGUCAGUCGCGUCAUCCAGGGAUCAACCUUGCUUUUGCUUGGUGUACUUUCUGGUUGACGGGUCAGCAUCAAUUUUGACCAUUGGAAAAAGAUAAAGGGAAUGUGGCAUACAUAGUGAUGUGUUAUAGCCCUUGGUUGCAUACAAUGGUUGGGAUUGAGGAACUCAGCACGCCGCAAGGCCGGGUUUUUAUUAACCACGUACGUGCUUAGGAUGUUGGCAUAAUGGCUUUAAUCGACCCGUCUUGAAACACGG